Molecule: ribosomal RNA, 1481 nt
Filed under: uncultured Bordetella sp.
Lineage: Bacteria; Pseudomonadati; Pseudomonadota; Betaproteobacteria; Burkholderiales; Alcaligenaceae
Description: partial 16S-23S ribosomal RNA intergenic spacer
Rfam family: Bacterial small subunit ribosomal RNA
Source: RNAcentral
GGUUCGAUCCACAAGCUCAGAUUGAACGCUGGCGGGAUGCUACAUGCAAGUCGAACGGCGGCACGGACUUCGGUCUGGUGGCGAGUGGCGAACGGGUGAAGUAAUGUGUGGAACGUGCCCUAGUAGCGAAGGAUAACUACGCGAAAGCGUAGCUAAUACCGCAUACGCCCUUCGGGGGAAAGCGGGGGACCUUCGGGCCUCACUAUUAGAGCGGCCGAUAUCGGAUUAGCAGCUAGUUGGUGGGGGUAACGGCUCACCAAGGCGACGAUGCGUAGCUGGUUUGAAGGGCGACCAGCCACACUGGGACAGACACAGCCCAGACUCUACAGGAGGCAGCAGUGGGGGUACGGACGAUAAAACCUGAUCCCAGCCCAUCCCGCGUGUGCGAUGAAGGCCUUCGGGUUGUAAAGCACUUUUGGCGGGAAAGAAACGGCACGGAUAAUACCCGAUGCAACCUGACAAACACCUGCAGAAUAAGCACCGGCUAACUACGUGCCAGCAGCCGCGGUAAUACGUAGGGUGCAAGCGUUAAUCAGGAAUUACUGGGCGUAAAGCGUGCGCAGGCGGUUCGGAAAGAAGAUGUAGAAAUCCGAGCUUAACUUUGGAACUGCAUUUUUAACUACCGAGCUAGAGUGUGUCAGAGGAGGUGGAAUUCCGCGUCAUAGCAGUGAAAUGCGUAGAUAUGCGGAGGAACACCGAUGGCGAAGGCAGCCUCCUGGGAUAACGCGACUGGCAUAUGCACGAAAGCGUGGAGCAAACAGGAUUAGAUGCCUGGUAGUCCCACGCCCCUAAACGAUGUCAACUAGCUGUUGGGGCCUUUGGGCACUUGGUAGCUGUUGCUGCGUGAGAUUGUGCCUGGGAAAUACGGUCGCAAGAUUAAAACUCAAAGAGAUUGACGGGGACCCGCACAAGCGGUGGAUGAUGUGGUUAAUUCGAUGCAACGCGAAAAACCUUACCUACUUGACAUGUCUGGAAUCCCGAAGAGAUUUGGGAGUGCUCGCAAGAAGAGAACCGGAACACAGGUGCUGCAUGGCGCUCGUCAGCUCGUGUCGUGAGAUGUUGCGGGUUAAGUCCCGCAACAGGCGCAACCCUUGUCAUUAGUUGAUACGAAAGAGGGCACUCUAAUGAGACUGCCGGUGACAAGCCGGAGGAAGGUGGGAUGACGUCAAGUCCUCAUGGCCCUUAUGGGUAGGAAGCUACACGUCAUACAAUGGUCGGGACAGAGGGUCGUAACCCGCGAGGGAGCCAAUCCCAGGAAACCCGAUCAUGGUCCAGAUCGCACGAUCUGCAACUCGACUGCGUGAAGUCGGAAUCGCUAGUAAUCGCGGAUCAGCAUGUCGCAGUGAAUACGUUCCCGGGUCUUGUACACCGCCCGUCACACCAUGGGAGUGGGUUUGCACCAGAAGUAGUUGAAAGCCUAACCGUAAGGAGGCGAUUACCACGGUAGGAUUCAUGACUGGGGUGAAGUCGUAACAAGGUAA